Molecule: ribosomal RNA, 1688 nt
Filed under: Salmonella enterica subsp. enterica serovar Typhimurium
Lineage: Bacteria; Pseudomonadati; Pseudomonadota; Gammaproteobacteria; Enterobacterales; Enterobacteriaceae
Also listed under: 3 other names
Description: partial 23S ribosomal RNA
Rfam family: Bacterial large subunit ribosomal RNA
Source: RNAcentral
UGCUGGAGGUAUCAGAAGUGCGAAUGCUGACAUAAGUAACGAUAAAGCGGGUGAAAAGCCCGCUCGCCGGAAGACCAAGGGUUCCUGUCCAACGUUAAUCGGGGCAGGGUGAGUCGACCCCUAAGGCGAGGCCGAAAGGCGUAGUCGAUGGGAAACGGGUUAAUAUUCCCGUACUUGGUGUUACUGCGAAGGGGGGACGGAGAAGGCUAUGUUGGCCGGGCGACGGUUGUCCCGGUUUAAGCGUGUAGGUGUGUGUUCCAGGUAAAUCCGGUUCACUUUAACACUGAGGCGUGACGACGAGGCACUACGGUGCUGAAGCAACAAAUGCCCUGCUUCCAGGAAAAGCCUCUAAGCAUCAGGUAACACGAAAUCGUACCCCAAACCGACACAGGUGGUCAGGUAGAGAAUACCAAGGCGCUUGAGAGAACUCGGGUGAAGGAACUAGGCAAAAUGGUGCCGUAACUUCGGGAGAAGGCACGCUGACACGUAGGUGAAGUGAUUUACUCAUGGAGCUGAAGUCAGUCGAAGAUACCAGCUGGCUGCAACUGUUUAUUAAAAACACAGCACUGUGCAAACACGAAAGUGGACGUAUACGGUGUGACGCCUGCCCGGUGCCGGAAGGUUAAUUGAUGGGGUCAGCGUAAGCGAAGCUCCUGAUCGAAGCCCCGGUAAACGGCGGCCGUAACUAUAACGGUCCUAAGGUAGCGAAAUUCCUUGUCGGGUAAGUUCCGACCUGCACGAAUGGCGUAAUGAUGGCCAGGCUGUCUCCACCCGAGACUCAGUGAAAUUGAACUCGCUGUGAAGAUGCAGUGUACCCGCGGCAAGACGGAAAGACCCCGUGAACCUUUACUAUAGCUUGACACUGAACAUUGAGCCUUGAUGUGUAGGAUAGGUGGGAGGCUUUGAAGUGUGGACGCCAGUCUGCAUGGAGCCGACCUUGAAAUACCACCCUUUAAUGUUUGAUGUUCUAACGUGGACCCGUAAUCCGGGUUGCGGACAGUGUCUGGUGGGUAGUUUGACUGGGGCGGUCUCCUCCUAAAGAGUAACGGAGGAGCACGAAGGUUGGCUAAUCCUGGUCGGACAUCAGGAGGUUAGUGCAAUGGCAUAAGCCAGCUUGACUGCGAGCGUGACGGCGCGAGCAGGUGCGAAAGCAGGUCAUAGUGAUCCGGUGGUUCUGAAUGGAAGGGCCAUCGCUCAACGGAUAAAAGGUACUCCGGGGAUAACAGGCUGAUACCGCCCAAGAGUUCAUAUCGACGGCGGUGUUUGGCACCUCGAUGUCGGCUCAUCACAUCCUGGGGCUGAAGUAGGUCCCAAGGGUAUGGCUGUUCGCCAUUUAAAGUGGUACGCGAGCUGGGUUUAGAACGUCGUGAGACAGUUCGGUCCCUAUCUGCCGUGGGCGCUGGAGAACUGAGGGGGGCUGCUCCUAGUACGAGAGGACCGGAGUGGACGCAUCACUGGUGUUCGGGUUGUCAUGCCAAUGGCACUGCCCGGUAGCUAAAUGCGGAAGAGAUAAGUGCUGAAAGCAUCUAAGCACGAAACUUGCCCCGAGAUGAGUUCUCCCUGAGACUUAGAGUCUCCUGAAGGAACGUUGAAAACGACGACGUUGAUAGGCCGGGUGUGUAAGCGCAGCGAUGCGUUGAGCUAACCGGUACUAAUGAACCGUGAGGCUUAACCUUACAACGCCGAAG